RNAcentral lists this ribosomal RNA (544 nucleotides) under Fusarium solani. Its description in RNAcentral is "eukaryotic LSU rRNA". The stretch from base 158 to 311 matches the Rfam family "5.8S ribosomal RNA". Lineage: Eukaryota; Fungi; Ascomycota; Sordariomycetes; Hypocreales; Nectriaceae. The record is from RNAcentral.
AGGGGUAUCCGGACUUUACUCUCAUCGCCCUGUGACAUACCUAAACGUUGCCUCGGCGGGAACAGACGGCCCCGUGAAAACGGGCCGCCCCCGCCAGAGGACCCCCUAACUCUGUUUCUAUAAUGUUUCUUCUGAGUAAAACAAGCAAAUAAAUUAAAACUUUCAACAACGGAUCUCUUGGCUCUGGCAUCGAUGAAGAACGCAGCGAAAUGCGAUAAGUAAUGUGAAUUGCAGAAUUCAGUGAAUCAUCGAAUCUUUGAACGCACAUUGCGCCCGCCAGUAUUCUGGCGGGCAUGCCUGUUCGAGCGUCAUUACAACCCUCAGGCCCCCGGGCCUGGCGUUGGGGAUCGGCGGAGGCCCUCCGUGGGCACACGCCGUCCCCCAAAUACAGUGGCGGUCCCGCCGCAGCUUCCAUCGCGUAGUAGCUAACACCUCGCGACUGGAGAGCGGCGCGGCCACGCCGUAAAACCCCCAACUCUUCUGAAGUUGACCUCGAAUCAGGUAGGAAUACCCGCUGAACUUAAGCAUAUCAAUAAGCGGAGGA